GAAAUGUAAGAUGUAGUUUGUCUGAAGCCCAGCAUUUGUAACUUUCUUUUAACGUUCCUGUCGUGCAUUUUCAAACUUAACGUUUGUGCUAAGGAUUUACUGGGUUCACGAGGUGUUGUGGAAUUCCCGCGUUAACGUUAUUAACUUCAACGUUAGCGCACUAGCAAAUUUUAGCACGCCAUAUCAAAUCUGACCAAACUCUUUUUCUGAUAAAUGUUGGGAUUCGCUCGCCAUGAUUGAAUUAAUUUGACGUUCGUGCCGUCAAAUACUGAAAGAAGUGGUGGACUGGAUGAAGCUGGAUGAUGGACUCUUCUAAUCAGGAUUUCUGGAGCAAGGUGCUGCAGGACUUCCAGCUACUGUUUGGAGAAGAUAUUUCCUCUCAAUUUAUGGAAGUGGGGAAUUUUUCUGAAGCCAGAAAUCAUCAAAGGAUCCAAGAACCUCACCAUGUUGACCAAAGACACCCAUGUUGGACUCUUGAUUCCCAAACACCACUUUUACACCAAAGUCCUUUAGGCAAGUCCCUUAUUUCAACGCAUUUUGGGCCCUUAUCGAGCAUCUAUUUCGGGCAGAACUGCGCGUGUGCAAGGCUUCACAACACCGACCUCGCUCCAGCGGCGAGAUCACAACACAUGAUUGGUACCGUGUAUUCACAUGUCAUCUUUUGGCCAUGGAAGGUGUUGAGAUGUGGAUACACUACCCCAGAGCACUGUAGACAAUCACAUAAUUACCAGUGAGAGCAGGCGCGCUCAACUCCAAAUCUCACAACAAUUUCGGAUGCGAGUCAAAAGGUGACAACUUAGAAUAGAAAAACCGCACUCUCAAGUAUAUUCUCCCCCCCCCCCCCCGUCAUCUACUUCCUGAAUUUUUGGUCAACGAUACCCGGGACCGGUACCCCACCGGGGC
Molecule: long non-coding RNA, 903 nt
Organism: Alosa sapidissima (American shad)
Lineage: Eukaryota; Metazoa; Chordata; Actinopteri; Clupeiformes; Clupeidae
Exons: 3
Source: RefSeq, a predicted model, not a curated record